GUACUCUCAGUUCAGAUUGUGGGCUGCAACCCCGCCCCACAUGAAGUUGGAGUUGCUAGUAAUCGUAGGUCAGCAUACUACGGUGAAUACGUUCCCGGGCCUUGUACACACCGCCCGUCAAACCAUGAGAGUUGGCAACACCCGAAGUCGGUAGUCUAACCGCAAGGAGGACGCCGCCGAAGGUGGGGUUGAUGAUUAGGGUUAAGUCGUAACAAGGUAGC
RNAcentral lists this ribosomal RNA (221 nucleotides) under uncultured bacterium. Its description in RNAcentral is "partial 16S ribosomal RNA". It matches the Rfam family "Bacterial small subunit ribosomal RNA", at positions 1282 to 1500 of the family's 1533-position model. The record is from RNAcentral.